Molecule: ribosomal RNA, 275 nt
Filed under: uncultured Staphylococcus sp.
Lineage: Bacteria; Bacillati; Bacillota; Bacilli; Caryophanales; Staphylococcaceae
Description: partial 16S ribosomal RNA
Rfam family: Bacterial small subunit ribosomal RNA
Source: RNAcentral
GUGCCAGCAGCCGCGGUAAUACGCAGGUGGCAAGCGUUAUCCGGAAUUAUUGGGCGUAAAGCGCGCGUAGGCGGUUUUUUAAGUCUGAUGUGAAAGCCCACGGCUCAACCGUGGAGGGUCAUUGGAAACUGGAAAACUUGAGUGCAGAAGAGGAAAGUGGAAUUCCAUGUGUAGCGGUGAAAUGCGCAGAGAUAUGGAGGAACACCAGUGGCGAAGGCGACUUUCNUGGUCUGUAACUGACGCUGAUGUGCGAAAGCGUGGGGAUCAAACAGGAU